RNAcentral lists this ribosomal RNA (254 nucleotides) under uncultured bacterium. Its description in RNAcentral is "partial 16S ribosomal RNA". It matches the Rfam family "Bacterial small subunit ribosomal RNA", at positions 524 to 776 of the family's 1533-position model. The record is from RNAcentral.
UACGUAGGGAGCGAGCGUUGUCCGGAUUCAUUGGGCGUAAAGAGCUCGUAGGCGGCUUGGUAAGUCGGAUGUGAAACCUCCAGGCUCAACCUGGAGUCGCCAUCUGAUACUGCCAUGGCUAGAGUCCGGUAGGGGCCCACGGAAUUCCUGGUGUAGCGGUGAAAUGCGCAGAUAUCAGGAGGAACACCGAUGGCGAAGGCAGUGGGCUGGGCCGGCACUGACGCUGAGGAGCGAAAGCGUGGGGAGCGAACAGG